This 496-nucleotide ribosomal RNA is filed under the name uncultured Streptococcus sp. RNAcentral describes it as "bacterial SSU rRNA". It matches the Rfam family "Bacterial small subunit ribosomal RNA", at positions 28 to 508 of the family's 1533-position model. The record is from RNAcentral. Lineage: Bacteria; Bacillati; Bacillota; Bacilli; Lactobacillales; Streptococcaceae.
GACGAACGCUGGCGGCGUGCCUAAUACAUGCAAGUAGAACGCUGAAGGAGGAGCUUGCUUCUCUGGAUGAGUUGCGAACGGGUGAGUAACGCGUAGGUAACCUGCCUGGUAGCGGGGGAUAACUAUUGGAAACGAUAGCUGAUACCGCAUAAUAGUAGAUGUUGCAUGACAUUUGCUUAAAAGGUGCAAUUGCAUCACUACCAGAUGGACCUGCGUUGUAUUAGCUAGUUGGUGGGGUAACGGCACACCAAGGCGACGAUACAUAGCCGACCUGAGAGGGUGAUCGGCCACACUGGGACUGAGACACGGCCCAGACUCCUACGGGAGGCAGCAGUAGGGAAUCUUCGGCAAUGGACGGAAGUCUGACCGAGCAACGCCGCGUGAGUGAAGAAGGUUUUCGGAUCGUAAAGCUCUGUUGUAAGAGAAGAACGAGUGUGAGAGUGGAAAGUUCACACUGUGACGGUAUCUUACCAGAAAGGGACGGCUAACUACGUGC